GUGGAAAGACGCACAGUGUGAAUAUACGGAAUAAAAUGCCUAAAAAGUACUUUUUAAACUGUAGAAUAGGAUGACCGGACUCUUCCCAGUCCUCAGGAUACAAAAUAUAAACAAAAGAUCUACAGUAAAAUAAAACUCCAUAGUACAAUUAAUCAGAACAAUAUACUAGUGUUCAAGGUUACACUCACAAAAGUAUAUUGAUUGUAGACUUAUCAAAUAAUUUGUACAAGGUCCACAACAUGGAAAAUGGGCAGGUAGUACAGAAUGAAAAAUACACAAUUAGUGUAGACAGUUAAAAACGUUAUUAUGUGCUUAAAUGAAUCACACUUACAAGCUUGAAGUGAUAUAUGAACAUAUAUUCACAAAGUAUGAUCCCCAGUCAUCAUCCACAGGGUUUCAUUGUGAAGGAUAAGGAGUACUGGUUCUUGAUUAACAAGGCAAUUUAUUGGAUAUAUAAAAGCACAAAAUUGAAGUAAAACAAAAUACAAGCUUCCUACAGUGGCCCAACCCUAUGCGUUUCGUCAGCUCAAAAUCUGGCUUCCUCGGGGGUAAUAAUUAAAAUCCAAUCUCCUGUGUAGUGUAGUUCAUCCUGUAUCAUCCGGUGUUGUUUUAAAUGUGAGGGCGCCAUUCCCGUGAGCCCAUCAGCAGCAAAUGGUCCCAGCUGUAACUUGUGUUUGGGGAAAAAAAGCGCUUCAGACCUCGUUUUCAUGUGCCGUCCGUUCUUGUGCAUAUAUGGCGUUGCGUUUCAUCAGUCGGGAGAUCGGGGAAUGUGUUCCACUUCAAGUGCUGUGUUGAUUCCUUAUGCCAUCUUGUAUAAAGUCCCAGUGUUACUCGUAGAUAUGUGAAGAAAUAAUAAAAUAAAAAAAAUGUAUGUACCAUGAUCUUAAAAAAAUAAACAAAG
Non-coding RNA from Pelobates cultripes (western spadefoot toad), 901 nucleotides. The record is from the annotation of a GenBank genome assembly. NCBI's taxonomy places the organism in Eukaryota, Metazoa, Chordata, Amphibia, Anura, Pelobatidae.